UCGGGGUACUCGAGUGGCGAACGGGUGAGUAACACGUGGGUGAUCUGCCCUGCACUUUGGGAUAAGCCUGGGAAACUGGGUCUAAUACCGAAUAAGGACCACGCGACUUCAUGGUGUGUGGUGGAAAGCUUUUGCGGUGUGGGAUGGGCCCGCGGCCUAUCAGCUUGUUGGUGGGGUUAUGGCCUACCAAGGCGACGACGGGUAGCCGGCCUGAGAGGGUGACCGGCCACACUGGGACUGAGAUACGGCCCAGACUCCUACGGGAGGCAGCAGUGGGGAAUAUUGCACAAUGGGCGCAAGCCUGAUGCAGCGACGCCGCGUGAGGGAUGACGGCCUUCGGGUUGUAAACCUCUUUCAAUAGGGACGAAGCGCAAGUGACGGUACCUAUAGAAGAAGCACCGGCCAACUACGUGCCAGCAGCCGCGGUAAUACGUAGGGUGCGAGCGUUGUCCGGAAUUACUGGGCGUAAAGAGCUCGUAGGUGGUUUGUCGCGUUGUUCGUGAAAACUCACAGCUUAACUGUGGGCGUGCGGGCGAUACGGGCAGACUAGAGUACUGCAGGGGAGACUGGAAUUCCUGGUGUAGCGGUGGAAUGCGCAGAUAUCAGGAGGAACACCGGUGGCGAAGGCGGGUCUCUGGGCAGUAACUGACGCUGAGGAGCGAAAGCGUGGGGAGCGAACAGGAUUAGAUACCCUGGUAGUCCACGCCGUAAACGGUGGGUACUAGGUGUGGGUUCCUUCCUUGGGAUCCGUGCCGUAGCUAACGCAUUAAGUACCCCGCCUGGGGAGUACGGCCGCAAGGCUAAAACUCAAAGGAAUUGACGGGGGCCCGCACAAGCGGCGGAGCAUGUGGAUUAAUUCGAUGCAACGCGAAGAACCUUACCUGGGUUUGACAUGCACAGGACGCCGGCAGAGAUGUCGGUUCCCUUGUGGCCUGUGUGCAGGUGGUGCAUGGCUGUCGUCAGCUCGUGUCGUGAGAUGUUGGGUUAAGUCCCGCAACGAGCGCAACCCUUGUCCUAUGUUGCCAGCGGGUUAUGCCGGGGACUCGUAGGAGACUGCCGGGGUCAACUCGGAGGAAGGUGGGGAUGACGUCAAGUCAUCAUGCCCCUUAUGUCCAGGGCUUCACACAUGCUACAAUGGCCGGUACAAAGGGCUGCGAUGCCGUGAGGUGGAGCGAAUCCUUUCAAAGCCGGUCUCAGUUCGGAUCGGGGUCUGCAACUCGACCCCGUGAAGUCGGAGUCGCUAGUAAUCGCAGAUCAGCAACGCUGCGGUGAAUACGUUCCCGGGCCUUGUACACACCCGCCCGUCACGUCAUGAAAGUCGGUAACACCCGAAGCCC
Molecule: ribosomal RNA, 1337 nt
Filed under: Mycobacterium sp. DWMJ-1587A1
Lineage: Bacteria; Bacillati; Actinomycetota; Actinomycetes; Mycobacteriales; Mycobacteriaceae
Description: bacterial SSU rRNA
Rfam family: Bacterial small subunit ribosomal RNA
Source: RNAcentral